This 253-nucleotide ribosomal RNA is filed under the name uncultured bacterium. RNAcentral's name for it is "partial 16S ribosomal RNA". It matches the Rfam family "Bacterial small subunit ribosomal RNA", at positions 524 to 776 of the family's 1533-position model. The record is from RNAcentral.
UACGGAGGGUGCAAGCGUUAUCCGGAUUCACUGGGUUUAAAGGGUGUGUAGGCGGGUAUUUAAGUCAGUGGUGAAAUCUCCAGGCUCAACCUGGAAACUGCCAUUGAUACUAUUUAUCUUGAAUCCUGUUGAGGUGGGCGGAAUAUAUCAUGUAGCGGUGAAAUGCUUAGAUAUGAUAUAGAAUACCGAUUGCGAAGGCAGCUCACUAAGCAGGUAUUGACGCUGAGGCACGAAAGCGUGGGGAUCAAACAGG